CCAUGGCCUCUCCUUCUUCUCCGUCUCUGCCACCAUCACUGCCACCAUACGCUCCUCCAGUGCACUAACACUCCCCCACCACCACCACCACCACCACCACCACCACAAAAACCCUAAGGAAAACCCCAUUUUCACUGCAUCACCAACCCACAUUGCUCUCUCUCUCUCUCUCUCUCUCUCUCUCUCUGAAACGCAAGGUUCACAAUGGCAGCACCAACGGCUCCUUCUCUCUUCUCCUUCGUCCUCGCAUUCUCGCUCUUCUUCUCCUCCGCGGCGCUCGCUCAGACCAGCUACACCCGGGCGGAAGUCGAGGCCCUGCUGUCCUUCAAGCGCGGCCUCAGCGACCCGCGCGGCGCGACGGCCGGGUGGGAUCCCGCCACGCCCUCCGCCCCCUGCGACUGGCGCGGCAUCGCCUGCUACGCCGGCCGCGUGCGCGAGCUCCGGCUCGGCAGGCUCCAGCUCGGGGGCCGGCUCGGGGGCUCGCUCGGCGACCUGCAUGAGCUGCGCCGGCUCAGCCUCCACUCCAACGUCCUCAACGGCUCCAUCCCGCGGGCGCUCUCCCGGUGCUCCCUCCUGCGCGCCGUCUACCUGCAGAACAACUCCCUCGCGGGCGACCUCCCCGCGGAGAUCCUCAACCUCACCAACCUCCAGGUCCUCGACGUCGCGCACAACCUCCUCUCCGGCGGAGUCCCCGGCGACAUGCCGCCGAGCUUGCGGUUCCUCGAUUUGUCGUCCAACGAGUUCUCCGGCGAGGUCCCGGCGAACUUCUCGGCGAGCUCCCAUCUCCGGGUCGUCAACUUGUCGUACAACCGGUUCGUGGGUCGAGUCCCUUUCGGUUUGGGAGCAUUGCAGGAGCUCGAGUACUUGUGGCUAGACUCCAACUUCUUGUUCGGAACUCUUCCCUCGGCGAUGGCAAAUUGUUCCUCGCUCGUGUUUUUGAGCGUCGAAGACAACAUGCUUCAGGGCUUGCUUCCGGGGACUAUAGGGACGAUCCCGAAGCUUCAAGUUCUCUCUCUGACGAGCAAUAAUCUCUCCGGUUCAAUUCCUUUUUCUUUUUUCUGUAAUGGUCCGGUUAAUUCGAGUUCCCUGAGGAUUGUUAGUCUGGGGUUUAAUUCUUUCACGGGAAUAUCCGAGCCGCCAAGUGAGAAGUGCAUUACUUCUCUGGAGGUUUUGGACCUUCACGAGAAUCGUGUACGGGGUGUAUUCCCAUAUUGGUUGACGUAUGCGUCGACGUCAUUGAAAGUGACUGACCUUUCUGGGAAUUUUUUUUCUGGUAUAUUACCUGCUGGUAUUGGAAAUCUGUCAAGACUGGAGGAGCUUAGGUUGGCUAAUAACUCUCUAAGGGGAGUGAUUCCGAACGAAAUUUCGAAAUGCAGCUUGUUGCAAGUCCUUGAUCUCGAGGGAAACCAGUUUUCGGGCCAGAUUCCGGGGUUUUUGAGUCAGUUGAGUAGCUUGAAAGUGAUUUCCUUGAAAGAGAACAGGUUUGCUGGUUCGAUUCCGCAGGGUCUUGGAAGCCUUUUGGGGCUCGAGAAUUUGGAUCUUAGCAAUAAUAAUCUGACUGGAGUUGUGCCGGAAGAGUUAAUGCAACUCAAGAAUUUGAGUACUCUGAAUUUAGGCAAUAACAAGUUCUCUGGUGAAGUUCCUUCCAGUAUUGGGAAGUUGAAGGGUUUGCUAGUUUUGAACUUUAGUAAUUGUGGAUUUUCGGGAAAUGUCCCUGGGAGCAUCGGGAGUCUUAUGAGAUUAACGACUUUGGACUUGAGUAAACAAAAUCUCUCUGGGCAAUUGCCAAUUGAAAUUUUCGGGUUGCCAAGUUUGCAAAUUGUUGCCUUGGAAGAGAACAGUUUAUCUGGGGAUGUUCCUGAAGGUUUCAGCAGUUUAAUUUCUUUGCAAUAUCUGAACCUCACAUCGAAUUUGUUUCACGGCACAAUUCCAACUACUUAUGGAUUCCUUCCGUCAUUAGCUGUUCUGUCCAUAUCUGGAAACAAUAUUUCAGGUCCAAUUCCAGUAGAGCUUGGUAACUGUUCCAAUCUUGAAGUACUUGAACUUCGUUCAAAUAGAUUGACGGGUCAAAUUCCGAGCAGAUUCUCUCACCUCUCUCAUUUGAAGAGGCUUGACUUGGGUCAGAAUAAUUUAACAGGAGAAAUUCCCGAGGAGUUGUCCCAGUGCUUCUCUUUGACUACUCUGUUAUUGGAUUUGAAUCACCUUUCAGGCCAUAUACCCGAUUCUUUGUCAAAACUACUGAACCUAACCUCACUGGAUCUUUCCUCUAACAACUUGGGUGGAAGAAUUCCAGCAAAUCUUUCAGCAAUACCUGGACUGGUGUACUUAAAUGUAUCUUACAAUGAUCUCGAGGGAGAGAUUCCACGGGCACUGGGUUCUCGAUUCAACGAUCCUUCUGUAUUCAAAAUGAAUGGAAAAUUAUGCGGCAAACCCUUGGCUCAAGAAUGCCCAAACGUGACUGCCAAGAAAAGAAAAAGGCUGAUUCUUUUCAUUGCUUUAAUUGUAGCAGGAGCAAUUGUUUUGGCGUUAUGCUGCUGUGGUUAUGUGUACAGCCUCCUGAGGUGGCGAAAGAAGCUUAGAGGAGCAGCUGGGGAAAAGAAGCGAAGUCCUCGUACAAGCUCAGGAGCAGAAAGGGGCCGUGGAAGCGGAGAAAACGGAGAGGCAAAGCUCGUCAUGUUCAAGAACAAGAUAACAUACUCAGAAACGCUAGAAGCAACUAGACAAUUUGCUGAGGAGAAUGUACUAAGCCGGGGAAGAUAUGGGCUUGUCUUCAAAGCCUCAUUUCAAGAUGGGAUGGUCCUUGCGAUACGUCGCCUCCUCAAUGGAUCGAUCAAUGAGCGAACAUUUCGUAAAGAAGCGGAAGCACUAGGCAAGAUCAAGCACCGCAAUCUGACAGUCCUGCGAGGCUACUUCGCUGGACCACCUGACAUAAGGCUCCUUAUUUACGAUUACAUGCCUAAUGGGAACUUGGCCACUCUCCUUCAAGAAGCAUCUCACCGGGAUGGGCAUGUUCUCAACUGGCCCAUGCGUCAUCUCAUCGCGCUUGGAGUUGCUCGAGGACUCGCUUUCUUGCACUCAAUGACCAUGGUUCACGGUGACUUGAAGCCUCAGAACGUGCUAUUCGAUGCAGAUUUCGAAUCCCAUCUAUCAGAGUUUGGUUUGGACCGUCUGGUCUCGGUCACCACAGCUGAAGCCUCCUCCUCGGCCACUCCAGUGGGCACGCUCAGUUACGUGUCACCCGAGGCGACACUAUCCGGGCAAUCGACAAAGGAGUCGGAUGUGUACAGCUUCGGGAUUGUCCUAUUGGAAAUACUGACUGGGAAGAAACCGGCCAUGUUCACUCAAGAUGAGGACAUUGUAAAGUGGGUAAAGAAGCAAUUGCAGAAGGGUCAAAUUUCAGAGCUAAUUGAACCUGGUCUGCUGGAGCUGGACCCUGAGUCAUCAGAGUGGGAAGAGUUUUUACUGGGAGUCAAAGUGGGACUUCUCUGCACAGCACCUGAUCCACUCGACAGACCAUCCAUGGCUGAUGUUGUACUCAUGCUUGAAGGGUGUAGGGUUGGACCCGAUAUUCCCUCUUCAGCUGACCCUACUUCUUUGCCUUCCCCUGCAUGACAAGGGGAACAAAACAAAGAAAAAAGGUCAUUGUUUUCUUUCUGGUAAGAAAAAUCUUUAGUUUCUUCCAAAGAAUGGAUAAAUUCUUACCAAAAAUCAUCAACCAUAUACACAUUCGGUUGCUGGAUUGAGUGAUGUCAUUUUUCAGGUAGAAGCGUACCCAAGAUCGACAGCUGUGCUUGUUCAGAACCACAGUAUAUAUUCCUGGGGAGACUAAUGGAUCAGUGCUAAAACACAGGCUGAGUGUUACCAUUAUCUGUUUGAUGCUGCUAUCAAACUUCAUCACAUGGGUUUGGAUGGUUAUUAUCAAAUCAUGGUCCUCUUCAGUAUAGCAAAGGAACAUUAGCUGAUGGUGGGAAGGCUGGAAUAAUCGGUCUGGUCUUCAAAUUAAGCCACUCCCACUAUACUAAUCAUGGAGAUCUAAGGACGUAUCUAUAUGGAUAUUUCAACUCUUCAGGGGGGGAACAGAAAAAAGGCACGUAGUGUUAUCGAGAUAUCCAAGUUACUAGGAUUGAUAAGCCAUCAGAGGUAUUACUUGUGACUGAUAUCUAUCAAGAAGCUAUUGCUGCAAAAGAAUGCAGGCGUUCGGGUGAUUGUCUCUGUCCACCCUAUAAAUGGACCUCUUCCAGAAAAUCCUGGAUUCAAACAGUGCAUUUAUUCAUGGAGAUCUGAUGAUGGAGUCUGGCUUAUCCUGAAUCUGACUUAGAUAAUUGGCUUAUCCAUUUUGAUGUUAUUCUGCUCUUAUAUCGGUUUAUGGAUCAGAUGUGUAGUUUGUGAAUUCUUUUUCAAUCACUAUAGCUAGUUAACUGCAUAUUAACAGUUAUUGUGUAUCCUGACAAGGAAAACCUCUUUACUGUCCAUCUCUCGCGCAGCCAAUAGACCUAGUUUUGAGGAAUGGAUACGCAUUGCCUUAUUCUCAUACAUGGAAAACAGAGCACAGCCAAAACCAAAUGGACAUGCAGUAGUUGUCUCUCUAUCUGAAAAGAAAAUAGCGUCAAAGGCAAACUUAAAUUGAUUGAGCAAAUAGCCACACAUGCUAGUCUAAGCAAUUUGUCAUAAAAAAAUUUCGGCUAGUAACACUGCAUGUUCCUCAACACCUUUCACCAAUAAAAAUUGAAUAAAUGUCAGAGUAAUGUCGCACCAAAAGAUUGCAUAAUGUGUUUUCUGCAGGAUGAAGAUCCUCUCAGACAAAAGAA
This is an RNA transcript of Syzygium oleosum, 4808 nucleotides long. It is a transcript of the gene named probable LRR receptor-like serine/threonine-protein kinase At4g36180, with no coding region annotated. The record is from RefSeq and is a predicted model, not a curated record. Lineage: Eukaryota; Viridiplantae; Streptophyta; Magnoliopsida; Myrtales; Myrtaceae. The transcript is spliced from 4 exons.